UCUUCUUCUCACUCUCACUCUCACUCUCACUCUCAUAGCAGCAGCGAUUAAUCAAUAAUCAUUCAUGAUCUUACACCAGUAACACCACCACCACAAGUAAUUCAAUAUUGGGUGCUUAUCAAGUACCAGAGGAGUUUGAUGAUCCAAUGAUGCUUGAUUAAUGAUUGUUGAACUUCAGAUCUUGUUGCAGACUUGAGAUGGAAAGGAACUAUGGAAGUGCUGGUUUUAACACCUUUGUGUUAAACCUCUAACAAUAUUUUCCUUAGGCAGUGACUAAAUACAACCCUGGUUUUGAAUAAAUACAACCCAAGUGAAAAACAAAAUAUUUAUUAACCUUAGUUGUGUGGGUGAUAAAACCCACCGUCAGACUUGUGUUUAUUAAUGGCGGACUUUCUUCA
Molecule: long non-coding RNA, 398 nt
Organism: Papaver somniferum (opium poppy)
Lineage: Eukaryota; Viridiplantae; Streptophyta; Magnoliopsida; Ranunculales; Papaveraceae
Exons: 2
Source: RefSeq, a predicted model, not a curated record